RNAcentral lists this ribosomal RNA (607 nucleotides) under uncultured Alphaproteobacteria bacterium. RNAcentral describes it as "bacterial SSU rRNA". It matches the Rfam family "Bacterial small subunit ribosomal RNA", at positions 28 to 691 of the family's 1533-position model. The record is from RNAcentral. Lineage: Bacteria; Pseudomonadati; Pseudomonadota; Alphaproteobacteria.
AGCGAACGCUGGCGGCAGGCCUAACACAUGCAAGUCGAACGAUAUAGUGGCAGACGGGUGAGUAACGCGUGGGAACGUACCUUUCGCUAAGGAAUAGCUCCGGGAAACUGGUGGUAAUACCUUAUACGCCCUUAGGGGGAAAGAUUUAUCGGCGAAAGAUCGGCCCGCGUUGGAUUAGCUAGUUGGUGAGGUAAUGGCUCACAAAGGCGACGAUCCAUAGCUGGUCUGAGAGGAUGAUCAGCCACACUGGGACUGAGACACGGCCCAGACUCCUACGGGAGGCAGCAGUGGGGAAUCUUGCACAAUGGGCGAAAGCCUGAUGCAGCCAUGCCGCGUGAAUGAUGAAGGCCUUAGGGUUGUAAAAUUCUUUCGUCUGGGAUGAUAAUGACCGUACCUGAAGAAGAAGCCCCGGCUAACUUCGUGCCAGCAGCCGCGGUAAUACGAAGGGGGCUAGCGUUGUUCGGAAUUACUGGGCGUAAAGCGCACGUAGGCGGACUUUUAAGUCAGGUGUGAAAUCCCGGGGCUCAACCUCGGAACUGCAUUUGAAACUGGAAGUCUUGAGAUCAGGAGAGGUUAGCGGAAUACCGAGUGUAGAGGUGAAAUUCGU